GGAGGACAGACGCAGCGCUGGGCGGUCAGCGCUGCCCACCUGCCGCGGGGAAGCCCAGGCCGGCCGAGCGCUGCUGUGAGCAGGAACAGACCGCUCGUAAACGGCCCGGCCAUUACCCUUUAUGCGUGCUUGUUCUAUGUCAGCAGUUCACGUUUUGGCACCAGAUGGAGGCUUUCUUUUGGUGAAAUGCCACCGUGUCAUUCAGCCGAGCUUUGAGCCUUUGAAUGUUCGCGCAGGGAUUUUUAGGGAGCAGAUCCAGAGAGCUGGACUGCCUCCUCUGCAGUCUGGACCGUCUGCGUCUUUACAGAGCACCUCCCACCGUGAAGCACAAGGCCCCUCCCUGCUCACUGGAAUGAAAUGAUCGUCCUAAGAGGUCAACUUGCUUAAUUAUAUUUAAUUCCCCCAACUUUCUCCUGUGGCAGGAGGUAAAAUGCCACUGGAUAUGGCUUUUCUCUUGAAAGUACGUGGAAGAGCUGUGUUGGAGGGUCAGAAUAAGUGGUGUGUCUAUCCCUAGUUAGAGGAGGUCGCCUUUCAGUUGUGGUGGACUGAGGCCAUCGGCCACCAGAACAAGCCAUCUCUUGCUUUACUGUAGAACCAGCUGUAACAUCUAGAACGUGUUGCUCCUCUUUUCCUAAGGACUCAGAAUAUACCCACGAAGUUACUUCAAAUAGAGUCUAUUGUAAUCGUCAAAUAAGCCGAAUGUCGCUAAAUAUACCCGCUGUUAUUUUAGUCUUUAUUUGUAUAUGAUGAUUUAAUUUUCAUUGACUUGGAUGUGCUGUAGUGUAAAGCGCUCUGACUUCCCACCGCGGGUGGAGAGGGAACGACGAUGCUGAAGCGCACAGAGCCGUCACCGGGGGCGGGUUGACUCGAAGCAUGCAGGCAGACAUACGGGCCUCAUGUGUGCCCACCAUCCAAGGGAGAGGAGAAGCCGAGAGAGGAAGCCUGCACUGGAAGAAGGAAAGAGACAACGAGACAGAGAGAGGCCCACGCAGUCUGUGUGGAGAAAGGAGAUUUGAUCAGAGAAAUCACAAAGCAGGAUCCAGACGCCCUGACAGCUACUGGGCAGUUACUGAGACUCAUUCUUAUCAACUGAGGUGGAGCACAAAAUUAAGCAAUACUAAGGCGAGGCCAAUUCUAGGAUAGAUAUAUGAAAUGACAGAAAACUAUUUGUUUUACCUUUUUUUCCUCCCUGUGUGUGAUGCAUUUAUUUAUAUUUGAAAUGGAACGCAGUAAUUUAUCUUAUCUUUAUUCUACACCUGAAGUCAUCCUCUUCCUCCUCAAAUUAGCAUCUCCUCCUGAAUUUUCUCUCUCAUUUGGGGCUCCUUUGGAGCGAGGCCCUCCAACUUGAACCCCUGAAAAUCUAAGAUAGCUACGAUCCUGCUCACUCCGUAACAAGGCUCCCUAAUUGUUUUUUCGUGAAGAAACAACACUGAUGUUCCAGUCAAGACAUAACAUUGCCCCGGGAAGCAAUUAUUAUUAUUUUUUUAAUAUCAGCUUUAUUAAGAUAUAUAUAUAGGGGCCGGCCCCAUGGCCGAGUGGUUAAGUUCGUGUGCUCUGCUUGGGCAGCCCAGGGUUUCACUGUUCACUGGUUUGGAUUCUGGGCACGGACAUGGCACCACUCAUCAGGCCAUACUGAGGUGGCGUCCCACAUGCCACAACUAGAAGGACACACAACUAAAAAUAUACAACUAUGUGCUGGCAGGUUUUGGGGAGAAAAUGUAAAAAUAAAAUAAAUUAAAAAAUAUAUAUAUAUAUAUACAUGUAUCUUAUAAUAUAUAUAUGUAUCAUAAAAUUCACCAUUCUUUAAAGUGUACAAUUUAGGAGUAUUUAGUAUAUCCACAGAAUUGUGCGACCAUCAUCAACAUCUCAUUGUAGAACAUCUUUAUUACCCCCCAAAAAACCCUGUACCCUUUGGUGGUCACUCCACAAUCCCUCCAUCCCCACCCCUGGCAACAGCUAAUCCACUUUUUCCCUCUAUGGAUUUGCAUAUUCUGGAUAUUUCCUAUAAAUGCAGUCACACACGUGGACUUUUUGUUUGGCUUCUUUCACUUAGCAUAAUGUUUUUGAGAUUCAACCGUGUUGUAGCAUGUAUUAGUAUUUCAUUCCUUUUUAUGGCUGAAUAAUAUUUCAUUCUGUACACCAAGUUUUGUGUACCCAUUCAUCAGUUGAUGGACAUUUCAAUUGCUUUUACUUCUUGGCUAUUGUGACUAAUGCUGCUGUGGACACUUAUUCACAAGUUUUUGUGUGGACAUGUGUUUUCAGUUCUCUUGGGUAUAUACCCAGGAAUAGAAUUAUUGGGUUACGUGACAACUCUACAUUGAACAUUUUGAGAAACUUCCAAACUGUUUUCCAAAGUGUCUGCACCAAUUUACAACUAAUGAAUGAGGGUUCCAAUUUCUCCACAUCCUCAUCAACAUUUGUUAUUACCUGUCUUUUUUAUUUUAGCCAUUAUUGUUAGUGUGAAUUUGUAUCCUGUUGUGGUUUUGAUUUGCACUUCCCUAGUGAAAAGUG
RNAcentral lists this long non-coding RNA (2511 nucleotides) under Equus caballus (horse). RNAcentral's name for it is "lncRNA (ENSECAG00000032248.3)". Lineage: Eukaryota; Metazoa; Chordata; Mammalia; Perissodactyla; Equidae. The record is from RNAcentral.